UUUUUUUUUUUUUUUUUUUUUUUUAAGCAGGAAGGAUCAGAGAGAACAAAGAAUAACCUUCAGUCGAUGGGUCAUUGAUGGAUGUCCUGGCCAUCUGAGAAAGGCCCGGAGCGCCUUGGGUCCUGGGAAGUCAGCCAGGAACCGGCCGACAAGGAGGGCUCUGCAGGCUAGAGGCUCAGACAGGAGACUCCCUGCAGCAAAGGCUGGGUUGGCGGCAUUAAAGAAAGGCUGCAAGAUUCAUUUAUUUAAUCAGUGAGCUCCCAGAUGAUGCUUGGAGUUUGAUAUGGAUCAUUCCAGCCUCUCUCAAAUCGAUCAACAAGUAUUGAUUGAGUGCCUACUGUUUGCUGGGCUUGACGCUAGGCAUUUUGGGAAAUGCAGAAUGAGUACCAAACAAGGUCUCUGUCAAUUAGCGCUACGAGCCCAUGUGUAACAAAGUGGGAACCACCUGAGUGUGACAACACAAGGUACUGAAAUGCAGGGGACAGGGCACACUGAGAUCAGGGAGGUCAGGAGGACUUGAAAUAGAGGUAAAUUUGAGUUAGAGUCAAGGUUGGGGAAUGUCACUGAUUGAGGGAAUAUGAAUAUGUAUUAGGGGCACUGGCUUACAGUAACAAAACACUUGGACUUAGUGCCUUAACACAGUGGGAGUUUACUUCUUGCUCACAUUAAAGCCAUUGGGCAGCAGGAGUGGGGGUGGGACUCUUUUCCAUACAGUCAUUCAGGGCCCCAGGCUCUCAGGGUUCCAUUGUCUCUAAUACAUGCCUUUCAGGGCUAGUCAGGGCUCCAUCACCCACCCAGCAACCCAGGAAAAGGUGGGCAAGGAUCCCAUGGAAGUUUACACAGUCCAGGCCCCAUCACUUCUCCCACGUCCCACUGGCCUAAUGUCAGUUCACCACCCCUCAGAGAUGGAAAGGGGAUGAGACCUAUGAUAUCUAUCUGGUGGGUCAGCCAAUUUUCAGCAAUAGCUCUCUGAAAGGGGAACACAAAAUGUUAAUGGAAAGUUAGCCACAGAGGACAAAGGUCAGAGGCUGACCCAUAACAGCAGCAUGUGAAACUCAGGAAAAUUUCUAUCUUCUGUCUGUCUGUCUGUCUGUCUAUCUAUCUAUCUAUCUAUCAUCUAUUUAUCUAUCAUAAAAGCUGACACACAUACAAUAAGCUGAGCACUCUGCAGAGUUUUGCAUGCAUUGGUUCCUUUAAUCCUCCCAGCAACCCUAUCAUCAUCAUAGAUUUUACCAUGUUUUGAGAUGUGGAGCACUGCCCAAAGUCACAACAGUUAUAAGUAGAAGAGAAAGAUGUAAACCCAGUCACAUUUGACUCUUGACUCUGUGCUUUCAGCCAUCAUGCUGAUGCUUCCUGAGAGUUCUUUGGUCAAAUCAGUUUGGGAAUUGCUGGGUCAAAGUUAAACUGGUUUGUUGCUACGAAACUUCUCAGAGCCCUGUCUCACAAUUGCGAUAUGCGUGGAGGGUCACAAUGGUGAGGAGCAGGAAUCCGGAGGCAAGAACCCCAGCUUUGUCCCUUACUGGCUGUGUGACCUUGGGCACAUCCCUUAACCUCUCUGUAACUCAUCUGUAAGAUAGGAAUAACAAUAGCACCUGCUUCACAAGGACUGAAUGAGUUAAUACGUUUUAAUACCAAAACCAAGCCCAGUAUAAGUGUUGGCUACCGCUAGAAUGGGCUGUGCUGUCCACUGCAUUGGUCCUGAGCCCUAUUUUCAUGGAGUGUCUCUCGGGACUGUGGCACAAUCUAGACCAUCCUUUUCCCUUAAUGAUGAGGCAAGUGAGGCGACAGGACUGGCUCAAAGUUCCCGAAGCCAGUCCUGGGCUCAAAGCCCAGUCCUAGCUCCACAGAGCUACUCUGCUUCUCUCAGGGGCAGAUUCAGACACUUCAGACACUUCAGAACUACAGGACUCAUCCAAUGCCCAAGGCAGGGACUCAUUUUCACUCAGAACAAAAGAGGACUGGACUAAGUUUUCUGCAGCAGCAGCCUGGGCUCUAGAGAGUCAUCGCUCUUGCAGCCCCACUGCUCCAGCUUUUGAGCAGCCUCAGGCAGAAUGACAGUGCCUGCCAGGAGCGCAGAGCACCGGCAGCCAGCAGCACCCACAUCCCAUGCCGACAUCCUAUGCUGGCCCCUGUCCUAGCACUGCCCAGAGCUCGCCUGGGAGCUGGAAAGGAGGCUGGGGAGAAGCAAUCCCUCCUGGACUCUCAGAGAGAAGCAGUUUAGAAAAUAGAAAGGAUUAAAUGUGACAAUGACCAUAAAUAGCAAGUAAAAUCAGACAGGGGUUAGGAUGAAAAUCACCCAAUUACGAUGAUGCCCCUUCUGCUUGUGUCAUUUCUUUGUGCAUCUUUGUGUGUGUCUCUCUGCUCUGGUCUGGCAAGACUUCCGAGUGGCUGGGGUGUGUGUGUGUGUGUGUGUGUGUGUGUGUAGAGAGAUUCAGAGGAUCGAGGAAGCAGAAAGGAGGGUGGGAGGGAGAGCCACAGAGAAAUCUAUGGGCUUCAGGGCCCCUCCUAUGGUCCUUCCUCAAGCCAAAGCCUUGUUUCAUCUGCCCCCCGUUGCUGAGUCAUGCCUGCCUGGGUCCCAAUACCCAACCUGCUUGAAGAGAGCUGAACAUAAGAGUGCUCAGAACUUCAGGGUCCCCUUUAUUGCGCUCUGGAUACCUUGUACCUUCAAUCCUAGGUUACUAAUGACUAUGACUCAUCAGGAGCUGAGUACACUGAGCAAUUUCCUGGACCAAACAUUCCAGUGUGCCCCCUUUCCUCUUAAAGAGGAUUCCAUGGGCCUGCUGUCCACCAAAUGGCCUUGAGCAGGGUCUGUAGGCAUUGGCUUGGUUAAGGGAUGAGAGUUAAUGGACCUCACAGGUAAAGUCUACGGGUCCCUUCAGCUACUCUUGCCCACCUUCAGGGGGCACACACGUUGAGAGGGGUCUGUGAGCCGCAGAGAAGGAAAUCUCUCUCGCAAGUCUGUCAACCAAAUAAUCACAGCCCAUGGCAACUCAGCGUUUGCAUGAGAUGCUCCAUAAAUACAAACUGACACAAUUUACUAAGCAUUUUCUGGCUCCUUCUCUUGAAUCCAAGUAGGGUAGUAUUUUUUAUAUACCAAACAAAAAAGUAAACUAAACACAGACAGCCUAUUUAUUGUUUUCAGUAUACUCAGGAGUUUUUGACUGAAUUCACCAGUUUUACUAUUAUCUCUCCUUUUAUUAUAUUAUGCAGUGUGUAGAUUCAGGCAGAGUAUGAAUAUCGCAUAGGGAAAAGAAAGAUGAAAAAUGGUAAGAACCACUCAGCUUGCCCAAAGCAACUUUCAUGCCUGUUAAAUCCCCUUAUUACUCAUCUCUCCCAAGAAAUAUUCUAGGAUCCACAGCAUCUAUUGAUGGUCUCAGCUGAGACUGCUGAGUAUCAUUUAUUCAACAAGCAUGUAUUGAGUGCUUACUACAUGCUAGACACAAUGUGAGGCACAAGGGACCCAGCUAUAGACAGGAAGUACACGGCUUUGCCUUCUGGAGUUCCCCCUAAGGGGCUUGGGAGCUGAGAUCCUAAGACGGAACCCCCUUGUUAGACAGGAUCCAGAGAGGAAAACACAUUUGCCCAAAGCCAUCUUGCACGUGAGUGCAGCAACCAAGGAAGUCUAGGUUUGAUAGCCCUAGGCUAGGUUUGGCCCCCAAUAUCCCCAUUCCCCCCAAUGGAAGAAAGUAACCUCAGUCAGCUCCCCAGUGCCAGGGUCAAUGGCUGGUCAAAGGACCCUGACAAUGAAGGGCCAGGGGAAAGUCACAUUUGAAACCAUGUUGCUGACAUGGCUUCUGCCCUCUCUUUGCUAUGUGCACAUGCAAAGCAGGUCAGUUUCCAAAAGGCAGCCACCCAGACCGCUAAUUAUCACUAAUUACACAUAGAUAUUUAAAAGAGAAAAAGCCCUCAAAAUAUUUAUAGAAAGAAUUGCAUAAGAAAAAAUUCUCUUUUGAGACCAAGAGACUGGCUCUCUUUCGGUCUUGCUCAAGGAGUUUACAGGUGGAAGAAGAAGUGAAUUGCCCUGAGGUGGACAUCCCAGUGGACCUGAGCACAGAAGUCACUCCUUUCUAAUCCCUAGGCCCCCAGGCCAUUGGUCUCACCCCCUCACAUAGCCACUCCGAUCAGGAAAAUAAAGAGCCAGAGGUUUCCUCAAGGAAAGGACAAAUAAUGACAUUAGCUAAUACUUUCUAGCACCUUCUGUAUGCCUGUAGUUUCAUUAUGUUCAACAUGACAUUAAGUCCCCAUUACAGCCUGGGAGGUGGGUGUUACUUCCACCCAUCUCACAAAGGAGGAAACUGUAACUGGGAUAUUCCUCCCACUUACUCAGCCAGUACAUAGCAGGACUUGGCUCCAAACCUGAGUCCAUCUGACUCUAACGACCAUCCUUUGUUCACCACACGGCAAGAAAAACGGAGACGCUUUCCUGGGAAGAGAUGACAGGAACAAGAAAGAGCACAAUUAAAGUGAGGGGGAAGGGAGAAGGCUCAGGUGGUGAAUGGACAAAUGUUUAAUAAGCACAUGCUACACACAGCAUUCUGCCAGGCGUCUGCUGGGAGGACACCAAGGAAACCGGUCCCUCCUUCCAUCCCCCACCUGGCGAGGCUCCAGCAUUUACCUACUGGUCAAGCCAGGAACUGGGCAGCACCUGCAACUACUCUUGGUCCCUCACCGUAAUUUUCACUGUCUUCAUCCUUCUGCAUACCAUCUGUUUACUCUGCUCAUUUGUAAAAUAGGGGUAGUCAGGUGCCUACUUCAUUAAUGCAGAAGUCAGAUAAAGUCAUUAGUGCAGCCCAAGGCGCACAGCAAGUUCUCAGCAAUAGAACACAGCCAGAACAGUCACAGUAAGUUCUCAGCUCGAUAAUGUUAGCUGUCAUCAUCGUGCUUUCUUUCCCAGGACAUUGAAAUGAUGGUGAAACUGACACCUGAGUCCUCAGAGAACAAGACCAAAUACAGGGAACGCUAGGGGUAGGUUUGUAGCCAACUGGUCUACUCUCUUUUGCUAAAUACACCUUGUGGUAUCAGGUCUUUGCAUUUUUCCCAUGUAGGAUCCCAUUUUCCUCUCCCCUAUUUAGAGUUUAUAAUAUCUUUAAGACCUAAAUGAAAAACAAGCAUUCUAGGAAUGGGCUCCCUGAUAAAGUAUCUUCUAAAGAUGACAGAAAUAUAAUGUGAGCACAUAUCUAAAGUUUUUUGAUGAAGCCACAUUUCAAAGGAUAAUGAUUAUUAUAAUUUUAAAAUUUUACUUCAUGCAAUAUAUCCAAAAUAUUAUCAUUUCAUUGUCUACACAAUAUUAAAAUUACUAAUGAGGGAUUUUACACUCUUUCGUUUGUAAUAUUACUGGCCUUACUAUAGCAUCACAAGCCUUAAAUACCUGUUGGCUAUUUUACACUCAAGGCACAUCUCAACUGGGACUAGCCACGUUUCCAAUGCUAACAGCCACGUAUAGCUAGAGGCUACCAUUUUGGACACUGCACCUUUAGAGAAAGCUGAGACUGUUCCUUUAAAGACCAAAACAUUGCCUGCAUUAAUUGGGGAUGUAUGUGUGUGGAUCACUAGAGUAGCAGGUGGUCUGGCUGGUCUCUCUGCCCCCAGGGAUUGUGUGAAGAAGGAGCCUGUUUCUAACCAAAGCAAAUCACACAACCCAUCUAAGGCCCUGCUGAUAAUACAUUCAUAGAGUUUCACACCCCAGCACACAAACAGGCUCUGGCUAAAUAGGCUUUUAAAAAAAAUACCUUCAGAUAUGUAACUACCCUUACCCCAAACCAGCUUCAAAGAGACAAUCCCUCUGCAUCCCAAUACCGCCUUGUAAAUGAGCAUUCCAAUCUCUCACUUUCUCUAGCUCUCUGGCAAAGACACAGUUCUGAAUAAUUUAUUCAUUUUUAUAGGUUUCCUGAGCACCCACUGUAUGCUGGGCAUCACACU
This 5919-nucleotide long non-coding RNA is filed under the name Sus scrofa (pig). Its description in RNAcentral is "lncRNA (ENSSSCG00030027686.1)". Lineage: Eukaryota; Metazoa; Chordata; Mammalia; Artiodactyla; Suidae. The record is from RNAcentral.